ACAAAACAAAAAUGAAACUUACCUGCCAGCAUCCUGAUCGUCAGCAGGAUGCCUGGGAGGAGGAUGUUAUCAGCCAGCACUGGGAGCAUCCACUGCACCUGAGGAAAAGAGAGACUUGCAAAUAGCUAAUUGGAACUGACCUGAUUAAAAGGAUCAAGGAUUGAAACAAACAGCCCCCUGAAAGGGGAACUAGGAGCCAUAGCAGAGAGAGAAAGAGCAAUGGAAUAGUUUUGUGUGAAGGCAUGAGAAAAGACAGAGGGCAGCAUCCCUUGGGAGGCGAGUACCGAGGAGUGACCUGGGGGAUCACGACUGAAGAUGGUUUGGUAUAUCCUCAGACAGAUGCAAACGUUAGCUGCAAAACUUGGCUGGAUUCUGAACAACGUACAUUUGGGAGAUUUUCAUCAGGCUACAUCUCAGCAUAUAAUAAAAGAUAAAUGGAAAUGAAUAUGAGUAAUAUGAUGAAGCAGGGCAUAAGGGUUGUCUACAUGUAUUUGAAGGUUGUAAACACAAUGAGUCCUGGCUGUCAGAAAAUGAUCUGAGUAGGAUCAAAACUCAGAAGCACUGUCUACUGGCACUUCAGAGAUCAGAGCCACAGUCAGUGGGGUUUUGCUGCCAGCUAUGAUGGAGGGUAAGAAUGAGAGAGGCGAGGAGUGAAAGCUGAUCAUUUCCACAUUGAAGUCAAUAAGAGUUUUGCCACUGACUUCAAUAGAAGCAGCAGCAGGGUAAAAUGCGCAACUGAGGAGAGAAUAUUCAAAAAAGUGUACUUCAACAGGAAAGAGAAGCACAGAAACAGAGCAUCGAACAGGGAAGAAAACAGUUGGAGAGAAGGUAAACUGCACAAAGGUGGAAAACAAACAAAAAGCCCAGAAUUAGUCUUGUGAAAGCCCUAUGUAAAUGUGAACAUUUUUUUUCUUUUAAAAAACUAAACCAGUCUGUUUUAAUUGUUAUUUACUGCUACUCUGAAAAGUAGUUUCUUAAACCAAAGCCUCAUGUCUAUGUUAUUUUCUUUCAGUAAAUGGAGUUUGACUAUUCACCUGUCUAGGUCACUGAAGGACCUGUACCAUUGUAAUACAUUUAUCUCCAACUGCCUGAAGAAUGUAGUUAGAACCAAGUUUUAUCAUUUAAUAAGGCAUAAAUUAUGUUUCAUUCGAAGAAAAACAUGGCAUUCAUCUUGCAUUUUUUUUCCAUCUGAAACAGCGCAAAAAGCAGCUGCAAAAAAGAAACAACUUUCUCCAAGCUAAAUACUUUUUUGAAAGUAUUGGUUCCUUUGAGUGUUUCAUUUAGAUUCACUCCAAAUAAAUAGAACAGGGGGGUGAUAUUGCAUGCUUUGAGGUCAAGGCACAGGCUUAUUUAAUAAUUUUUCCUGAUGCAGCCAGCGAGUUUCUAGCUGGUUCUAGGGGAAGCCUGCUUUUUUUUUUUU
This is a long non-coding RNA of Alligator mississippiensis (American alligator), 1420 nucleotides long. RefSeq lists it as uncharacterized. The record is from RefSeq and is a predicted model, not a curated record. The transcript has 3 exons. Lineage: Eukaryota; Metazoa; Chordata; Crocodylia; Alligatoridae.